Molecule: unclassified non-coding RNA, 284 nt
Filed under: plant metagenome
Description: partial contains small subunit ribosomal RNA, internal transcribed spacer 1, and 5.8S ribosomal RNA
Rfam family: Eukaryotic small subunit ribosomal RNA (bases 1-53)
Source: RNAcentral
GGAAGUAAAAGUCUAACAAGGUUUCCGUAGGUGAACCUGCGGAAGGAUCAUUAUUGUAUAACCGAGAUGCGAGGGCUGUCGCUGACCCGAAAGGUCGUGCACGCCCGAGUGCCCUCACACACAUCCAUCUCACCCCUAUGUGCACCACCGCGUGGGUCCCCCUUUGGCUUGUUCGGAGGGGGGCUUACGUUUUCACACAAACUUUGUAUGCAGUGUAGAAUGUAUUUUUUGUUUUUGCGAUCACGCAAUCAAUACAACUUUCAACAACGGAUCUCUUGGCUCUC